Molecule: long non-coding RNA, 652 nt
Filed under: Fukomys damarensis (Damara mole-rat)
Lineage: Eukaryota; Metazoa; Chordata; Mammalia; Rodentia; Bathyergidae
Description: lncRNA (ENSFDAG00000028611.1)
Source: RNAcentral
GUUUUCUCUUGGAUUUAACAAAAUGAAAUUUGGAAACUAUAAAUAUAGUCUUUAGGUAUCAUGAGUGUGGUUUAAGAUGGAAAAAAGAUUUACUUCCCCUCCAAAGGGGUGGUAAAGUAUACAGAAUAUACUAGGUACUAAUUUGUAAUUUUACUUUCUGUUGGCUUUUUCCACUAACUCAAAGUUUCCCCAUUUAUUAUUUUUCUUUUUCUAACUCAAAUAUUUUCUCUUUCCUUGAAUGGAAAAUUUCUUGAACUUUCAUAGCUGCCUGUAAUAAAUCAUGCAUCUACUGAUGAGUUGCAAAGGCAAAAAGGUUGGAAAAGAACUCUUUCGACCUCUCACCUCUCUUUAUUGAAUUUCACAAUUUGAAACAAUGCUACUUCUUAAUCUGUCCAACAUCCAGGUAUCUACUUACGUGGAGAGUACUGCGUUAUUAUCCUACGGAGCGAUGGGUGAAGCUCCUCAAAAACAUUUUCGUAUACGUGAGUGUGAGCGAUAAAACGGCUCAUCCCACUUCUUCGAAAUGAGCUUCAUCUGAUCGCUUCUCCGCUCUCUCACGAGCACUGGACACCCAAAAGAUGGAUCUGAGCUUUCCCUAAUCCUAUUUCUCCUUCCAUAACGUCUUUUGCCUUCAGAAUAAAAACCUACCCUA